RNAcentral lists this long non-coding RNA (872 nucleotides) under Cyanistes caeruleus (blue tit). Its description in RNAcentral is "lncRNA (ENSCCEG00000004869.1)". Lineage: Eukaryota; Metazoa; Chordata; Aves; Passeriformes; Paridae. The record is from RNAcentral.
GCCCCCUCCCCAAAUAUCGGGGGGUGGGGUCCCCGUGUGCCUUCAGCGCAGGGUGGGGACAGCGGUGGGGGCUUGGGGACACCCCCCACUGCCCGGGCAGCGCUUGGGGACCCCUCCCCAGGGUUUGGGGGCUCCUGGGGACCCCUCCCCAGGGUUUGGGGGCUGCUUGGGGACCCCUCCCCAGGUUUUGGGGGCUCCUGGGGAUGUCUCCCGGUGUUUGGGGACCCCUCCCCAGUGCCCAGGACCCCCUUGGGGACCCCCCCAUGCCCCCCAGGGGGGUCUCAGCACAGCUCAGGGGCCCAGAGCAGGGUGGGGGGCACUUUGGGGUGUCCCCCAGUCACUUUGGGGUGUCCCCCCGGGCACUUUGGGGUGUCUCCCCGGCAUUUUGGGGUGUCCCCCAUCACUUUGGGGUGUCCCCUCAGGUCACUUUGGGGUGUCCCCGGUCACUUUGGGGUGUCCCCCCAUCACUUUGGGGUGUCCCCCCGGCUCUUUGGGGUGUCCCCGGUCGUUUUGGGGUGUCCCCCGGGCAUUUUGGGGUGUCCCCCCGAGCCCAAAGCUUUCCUAUCAUUUUCUAAUUAAAGCCUUUGCCAUUCCAGCCUCGCCGCUCCUUUGGGUUUUGGGGGGUCCGGCAGAAGCUCAUUUAUUGUGGAGCCCCAGCGCGGGGUCUGGGGGUCCCGGGGGGUCCCGGGGGUGUCCCAGGGGGUCCCGGGGGUCCCGGGGGUCACCAGCAGAGCUGCCCCGGGCAGUAUUUAUCGAUGAGGCCCUGGUAGUAACCUCGGAGUUGCUGCACAUCGGGCAGCUCCUCCUGCUUGGUGUACAGGUCAAACUUGCUGCGGGGACAAACAGGGGGGGGUCAGGGCACCCCAAAACCU